Regulatory RNA element from Streptomyces uncialis, 56 nucleotides. It matches the Rfam family "L17-Actino-Proteobacteria ribosomal protein leader". Lineage: Bacteria; Bacillati; Actinomycetota; Actinomycetes; Kitasatosporales; Streptomycetaceae. The record is from Rfam.
CCGCGGGGCAGCCGCCCCACGGGAACUGUCACCGGUACCUGACACGGCCGGUGCAG